Molecule: ribosomal RNA, 253 nt
Filed under: uncultured prokaryote
Description: partial 16S ribosomal RNA
Rfam family: Bacterial small subunit ribosomal RNA
Source: RNAcentral
ACGGAGGGGGCGAGCGUUAUUCGGAAUUAUUGGGCGUAAAGGGCGCGUAGGCGGCUAUACAAGUCAAAGGUGAAAUCCCUCGGCUCAACUGAGGAACUGCCUUUGAAACUGUGUGGCUUGAGGCCGGGAGGGGGUAGCGGAAUUCCCAGUGUAGCGGUGAAAUGCGUAGAUAUUGGGAGGAACACCAGUGGCGAAGGCGGCCACCUGGUUGGAUACUGACGCUGAUACGCGAAAGCGUGGGGAGCAAACAGGA